Long non-coding RNA from Lycium barbarum (goji berry), 1314 nucleotides. RefSeq lists it as uncharacterized. The record is from RefSeq and is a predicted model, not a curated record. NCBI's taxonomy places the organism in Eukaryota, Viridiplantae, Streptophyta, Magnoliopsida, Solanales, Solanaceae. The transcript has 2 exons.
CUCUAAUCAAGAUGGUAAAUGAAAUCACUGGAUGAUACAAUUUACAGUUUGGGUGAUAGAAAUCUGAGGCUUCAAAAUGCCAAUAGUUUGUGCAAUGAAGCAAGAAUUAUUAUCAUGGUCUAGUAGUUCUUGGUUUGGUUUGCCUGAUUUAGCACUGUAUUUGAACUCCGAGGGGAUGAAAUAAUUCUGUAGUUUUAAGUUUGUGUUUAUUGUUUCUGGUGUAUGAUUCUCAUUUUGUGGAGUUGAAAAUCAUUUCUAUCUGAUUGAGAGGAUAGCUAUUAGAAAUUUGGAAUUGAAAUCCGAAGGAAAGUUACGUUUGUGGAUAAGAUUUUUUACUUUGGGGGAAUUUCCCUAAGUGGAGGAGAACAUUUUUCAGAAAAUGGGGCGUAUUGAAUGUAAAUUUGAAAAAUGAUGAGGAGAAGCCCGAGGAACUAUCCAUCUAAUUGUUCUGUGGUAGAUGGCAACUCGAGUCCGAGGGAUGUCGAUUGAGUCAAUUUUUGUCUAUGCUAUUCAUAAUAAAGGAUUGUGCAUUUCAGCUAUCAAUAUUUUAAAGAAUAGCAGUAAGCUCGUGUUAGCAUCUAGUUGAAGGGUGGCUACUCAUGAGUCGUGACGAAGUUUGAAAGCACCAGUAUGCAGGUCUUUCUUUUGGCUUCUAAGGUUCUUAGUUUCUUAAGGGCAGGAAUUCUAGGACCCUUUUGAUGAAGCUGUUGUGACCCUUGUAAUGUUAUUCGAGGAACAAUGUUGUUUUUGAGUAUUCGGAGAAGCUGCAGAUCAUUCUUAGGACCCUUCGUAAUGAAGCCAUUGUGACAGAUUGUCAUUGAGUUAUAUUAAAGAGACAUCCCAUUCCAAGGUGUUUGAAGUUUGAGAAAAGACAUUCCUAGUAAGAUGCGGUGCUGUUGAAUCAUCGCAUUUUCUUCAAGAGAAGUAUGCUUUCAGUCUCUCUUCUUCCCUAUGUGUUAUUUGGGGUUGGAGAAGUUGCAUUCAGUCUUUCAUCCUAUCUUCCCAAUUGUCCUGGUACCGAUGUUAAAGCAGAAAGAAUAAGAUGCUCUAGCAUAUUUGAUUGUGCAAGCAUAAAGGAAUAUCGAAUAGCACUUUGUUAAGAAAGAUACCUUAAAUGUCAAAAUCAGGAUGCUCGGGAUGCAAUUUCAGGACUUCUUUUCAUUUGUUUCUUCUAAAUUUUCAAUCAAUUAUCUUAUGUUGUCAGUUAAAUUUCUGUUCCUGUAGCGUUCACUUACUUCCUUACAUUGAUUCCUGAAAUUAUAGAAGAAGAUCGAAGAGCAAGAUGUAGGAAAAUAAAAUAGAAUGGUUGUGUUC